CACGUAGGCGGAUUGGAAAGUCAGAGGUGAAAUCCCAGGGCUCAACCUUGGAACUGCCUUUGAAACUCCCAGUCUUGAGGUCGAGAGAGGUGAGUGGAAUUCCGAGUGUAGAGGUGAAAUUCGUAGAUAUUAGGAGGAACACCAGUUGCGAAGGCGGCUCUCUGGACUGUAACUGACACUGAGGCACGAAAGCGUGGGGAGCAAACA
This 207-nucleotide ribosomal RNA is filed under the name uncultured bacterium. RNAcentral's name for it is "partial 16S ribosomal RNA". It matches the Rfam family "Bacterial small subunit ribosomal RNA", at positions 568 to 774 of the family's 1533-position model. The record is from RNAcentral.